RNAcentral lists this ribosomal RNA (250 nucleotides) under uncultured prokaryote. RNAcentral describes it as "partial 16S rRNA". It matches the Rfam family "Bacterial small subunit ribosomal RNA", at positions 525 to 775 of the family's 1533-position model. The record is from RNAcentral.
ACGUAGGGGGCAAGCGUUAUCCGGAAUUAUUGGGCGUAAAGAGUGCGUAGGUGGUUGAGAAAGAGAGAGGGGAAAGGAAAUAGCAUAACUAUUGUAAGCCUUGCGAACUGGAAGACUUGAGUGCAGGAGAGGAAAGUGGAAUUCCUAGUGUAGCGGUGAAAUGCGUAGAUAUUAGGAGGAACACCAGUGGCGAAGGCGACUUUCUGGACUGUAACUGACACUGAGGCACGAAAGCGUGGGGAGCAAACAG